Molecule: non-coding RNA, 112 nt
Organism: Acanthosepion pharaonis
Lineage: Eukaryota; Metazoa; Mollusca; Cephalopoda; Sepiida; Sepiidae
Source: the annotation of a GenBank genome assembly
GACGGUCAUAUAGCGUUGAAACACCAGUUCCUGUACGAUCACCGUAGUUAAGCAACGCCAAGCCCGGUCAUUAUCUUGACGAGUGACCGCUUGGGAAUACCAGGUGUUGUAA